UUUGGUCGUAACACUGACCAUAAGCUGUUCAACAGCUGUCGGAGGCUCAUUUCAAUGGAUGGCAGUGUCAGGUUCCUUCACCCCACGCACAGCUGUGCUUCGUUUCGUGUCUGCUCCCAUGCUGCUGCAGACGGCUGUCCUUCGGUCUAGUUCUUGAUCGCAAAUAAAGGUGACACAGCCGGAUACUAAAACGAUGGGCAGUUUAGGAGCUGAUAAUUUACUAACCUGUGAUACGUAGAAGACUGUAGUUUGCCUAGAAGUGAACGUGCGCAGCCUGUUCCCGGUCUUGAGACACGCACUACACGCGCGACGUCACGUUCAGCGGGGGCUUAAAGGGACAGUAGCACUCAAACCUGCAGUCAUGGAAGAAGAGCUCCGAUCAUUGACCCACGUAGAAGCGCUGAUAUGAAUGGCCAGCACUGGCCAGCACAGGCCAGACGAGCCGGCUUGGGAUGGACCGGCGAGAAGGGGUGAAAGUAAAGCGACCGACAAGUGCAGCACAUUUUUGGGAACGUCUGCAAUAGUGUUGGGACGAAUUCCACAAGCGAUACUUGAUUUUCAUUUACAGACAGAGUGGAACAGAUGUGUUUGGCUGUUGAAUGAGUCAAAAAUUUAGAGAUUCCAUUAUUAAUUAUUAUUUUUUCCAUGCUUGAAUUUUAAUUUCUGGUCUUCUAAAGGUCUUCUAAAACUUUUGACCAAUAAUGUAUAAGAUCAUGAUUUGAAAAGUAACUCGAAACUGUAGCUGUAACACACAUGUAACGACGUAAAAAGUACAAUAAUUACACUAUCUCUGAAAU
Molecule: long non-coding RNA, 797 nt
Organism: Xiphias gladius (swordfish)
Lineage: Eukaryota; Metazoa; Chordata; Actinopteri; Istiophoriformes; Xiphiidae
Exons: 3
Source: RefSeq, a predicted model, not a curated record